This 437-nucleotide long non-coding RNA is filed under the name Setaria viridis. RNAcentral's name for it is "long non-coding RNA (SVIR_LNC006539)". The record is from RNAcentral. Lineage: Eukaryota; Viridiplantae; Streptophyta; Magnoliopsida; Poales; Poaceae.
UUAUAGAAACAAUGAGGUGUGAUUAGAGACCUCCCUAGUCAGGGUUUGUACUGUGGUACAUGGAAUUUCAGUUCCCAUUCCAUGCAUGAUAGAAUUCUAUCUAGUUUUUUAAAAGGACCUGAAGGUUAUUGGCCCAAGUGAAUUGUCUCCCUAAAAGUUCCAACUCCCUUAAUUAAAAGCAUCAAUUAUCGCAUCAAGAAUGAUAAUCUGUCAUUGUGAUUUGCAUUAUUCCUUUCAUGCGGACCUAUUAGUAUAGGUUAAGAUUCUAGUCCAUAAUUAGACAAGCUCUAUUAGCAAUGCCUCCUUGAAUUGUUGUUGUGCUGCACCCAUACAUAGACAUUAACACCCACUGAAAGCCAUCUUGUUUAUUCUGACCUUAAAUUUCACAAAGAAGUCCCUUUCUUCAGUUCCACCAAUAUCAUAACAUGAGAUAUUUA